CAGUUUAAGACCUGUGUGGCUAGGUCCAUUUUUUCCCAUUAAUUCUUGAUAUUCUUGACCUUUUGUUCUUUCAGAUGAAUUUUAAAAUUAUUUUUCCCAGCUCUUCGAAAUGAUUUUGUGGUAGUUUGAUUGGUAUGUCACUGAAUAGGUUAAUUAAUUUAGACAGAAAUGUCCUUUUAUUUUAUUGUCUCAAACUACCCCUGAGCAGUUAAUAUUUAUCCAAUUAUUUUGGUCCAACUUUAUUUGUGUGAAAAAAAAAUGUUUUGUAAUUGUGUUCAUCUAAUUUGUGGAUUUGUCUUUCUCUUUUGCUGGUGGACUGUGUUGGUGGUAAAUAGAAAUGCUGAUGAUUUAGGAUAAGUUCAAACUUGAGAAGAAGAGGAAAACAAAUGAAGGAUGCUAAGUGAAAUCUCUUAUGCAUUUAUCAACAAAACAAGGCCCAAAUGGAAUAAAGUGACUUGAC
Molecule: long non-coding RNA, 460 nt
Filed under: Monodelphis domestica (gray short-tailed opossum)
Lineage: Eukaryota; Metazoa; Chordata; Mammalia; Didelphimorphia; Didelphidae
Description: lncRNA (ENSMODG00000041228.1)
Source: RNAcentral